This 478-nucleotide ribosomal RNA is filed under the name uncultured bacterium. RNAcentral describes it as "partial 16S ribosomal RNA". It matches the Rfam family "Bacterial small subunit ribosomal RNA", at positions 28 to 523 of the family's 1533-position model. The record is from RNAcentral.
GACGAACGCUGGCGGCGUGCUUAACACAUGCAAGUCGAACGGUAAGGCCCUUCGGGGUACACGAGUGGCGAACGGGUGAGUAACACGUGGGUGUUCUGCCCUGCACUUCGGGAUGAGCCUGGGAAACUGGGUCUAAUACCGGAUAGGACCACUGCCUGCAUGGGUGGUGGUGGAAAGCUUUUGCGGUGUGGGAUGGGCCCGCGGCCUAUCAGCUUGGUGGUGGGGUGAUGGCCUACCAAGGCGACGACGGGUAGCCGGCCUGAGAGGGUGACCGGCCACACUGGGACUGAGAUACGGCCCAGACUCCUACGGGAGGCAGCAGUGGGGAAUAUUGCACAAUGGGCGCAAGCCUGAUGCAGCGACGCCGCGUGAGGGAUGACGGCCUUCGGGUUGUAAACCUCUUUCAGCACCGACGAAGCGCAAGUGACGGUAGGUGCAGAAGAAGGACCGGCCAACUACGUGCCAGCAGCCGCGGUAA